RNAcentral lists this transfer RNA (62 nucleotides) under Drilus flavescens. RNAcentral describes it as "tRNA-Tyr". Lineage: Eukaryota; Metazoa; Arthropoda; Insecta; Coleoptera; Elateridae. The record is from RNAcentral.
AGCGAGAUGGCCGAGAUUAGGCGAUAAAUUGUAAAUUUAUUUACGGGUUUUCCCUCUCGCUA